This is a long non-coding RNA of Cyprinus carpio carpio, 551 nucleotides long. Lineage: Eukaryota; Metazoa; Chordata; Actinopteri; Cypriniformes; Cyprinidae. The record is from Ensembl.
UGAAGACUCACUCGCUGUUAUUUUCAUUUUUUAGCUCUUAUGAGGUAUUGUCUAUUAAUAAAGCGAAGACAUUACAAAUGCCUCAAGAAGCCCGAACUCAGCUGAGCAGACUCGGACACGGGGAGGAUUCCAAGUCUUUUUGUCACAUUUCCGGAUCUCAGAGCAGAGUCAAGGCAGAGCAAACACAGCAAGAGAGCACAAAAGCUGAAGCAGGAAGUGAUGACGGAGUCUCUUAUAGCAAGGAGUCAGCUGAUCAGGCAGGGCGUGGUACCAAUUAGGCUGCAGGAACCAAUCAGCUUCUUCCUGGACAGAAGACACACACAAACACUUCCCAAACAUAAGAAAACACAGAAGCAGAACACAAGGGACGUAGCAGCAUCAUUAAACUAGCAUCUAACAAUGGACAAAACUGUUUUUUGUUUUGUUUUGUUUUUUUCUUUAACCUAUGGUUCUCCAACCGUAAAGGCUGCUGUGUAAUUUGCCCCCGACUAAGCAUUUACAGAAUCUAGGGGAAGCAUUUAAAUAAUCCUGUGAAUGCACUUAAAGAAUGC